UGGUUCAAUCAGUCGAUCAAGUUAAUCAAUUUGUAUUUAAUUUUGUAUUGAUCGAUGCUCAAAUAAACAUUCACUACUAUCGAAUUAAACAGAAAGGGUUGACUCGUUGGAGAACGUUGAAUGAAAUGCUGACAGAGCUGUUUAUAAAACAGCGAAACUUAAUAUCGAUUUCGAAAGAUGCUGGUGUAAAAAAGAAAUAAUUCUCAACAACGAUGCUUAACGAACGUAAGAAUUACAGGAGCGAGGUUUUUUGAGGAAUAAUUAACCUACAACGCCCGCGUAGGUCUCAUUAAAAACAACAGGCAAGACUUGGCAGACAGGUAUCUGUUUUAACGUGCAAAAGCCUUCGUUGCUUUUCUUUACUUUAUUUUUCAGUUUUUCUUAUUCUUACGCAUGGCGAGCGAUUAAGGAAAGCUCGUAUUGUAACGGAGUGAGCAAAAAUAACCUGAAUCAUUGACUGGGAUAGUGGAAAUGGACGAAAAAGGAUUUCAAAGAAAUGCUAAUAGCUAACGUUUUAGGAAAGGAAAAAUCUCAAGACGAAAAAUGGACAGUUUCAAUCAUUAUUGAACCGUGAAACAUGGUGAUAAAAUCACAGAUGAAAUUACAGAGGAAAAAAAAGAGGUUUAAGGGGUUAGGCCACUCUAAAGCAAGAAAAAUGAUUCAAGUCAAAAUAUGGGCUCUGCAGCAUUUCUUCGAUGAAGCCUUUUUUUUGAAGAGCUAAAUGGCCGGACCAGCAGCUCCUGCAGUUUUUAACUUAGGAUAUAAAAACCAAAAUAUUUUCGAUUAUAUAUGAGAACAGCUACCGAACCACGUAGGAUUUUUUUGAUAUAUUGAUUUUUGCAAAAAUGGCGUAUGUUUUAAGAGAAAAUGUAAAAUUUCAGGAAAAAAUCGUCAGAAAAUUAUUUA
Osmia lignaria (orchard mason bee) is the source of this 906-nucleotide long non-coding RNA. RefSeq lists it as uncharacterized. The record is from RefSeq and is a predicted model, not a curated record. NCBI's taxonomy places the organism in Eukaryota, Metazoa, Arthropoda, Insecta, Hymenoptera, Megachilidae.